CAGUCGCCACGGUAAGACAGAGGAUGCAAGCGUUAUCCAGAAUGAUUGGGUGUAAAGCGUCUGUAGGUGGCUUUUCAAGUCCGCCGUCAAAUCCCAGGGCUAAACCCUGGACAGGCGAUGGAAACUACCAAGCUGGAGUAUGGUAGGGGCAGAGGGAAUUUCCGGUGGAGAGGUGAAAUGCGUUGAGAUCAGAAAGGCACCAACGGCGAAAGCACUCUGCUGGGCCGACACUGACACUAAGAGAUGAAAGCCAGGGGAGGAAAUGGGAUUAGAUACCCCCGUAGUCCCUGUCUCUUAUACA
RNAcentral lists this ribosomal RNA (301 nucleotides) under uncultured bacterium. RNAcentral describes it as "partial 16S ribosomal RNA". It matches the Rfam family "Bacterial small subunit ribosomal RNA", at positions 509 to 809 of the family's 1533-position model. The record is from RNAcentral.